ACGUUCUCUGGACUUUAUUCUAAGAAAUGAAACGAAAUGGUAUUUGGCAGACGAAAUCUCGUACAAAUCAGUACGGAAUCUAUUACUCAGUGGAAGAUGAAAAAGUUGUUGCCAGAUGUGUUAAAGAAAUUACCAAUGUGUUGAACAAAAAAUACUUUUUUAAUAAAUAUUUACGAAAUUUGUUGUUUGAAAAUUUAAAUUGUGGAAAUUAUUAUUCAUUACUAUUACAGUAUUAAAAAUGAUUAACUAACGGAAUACAAGCACUGUUUCGAUUGCCUCGAAGCCAAAGAUAAUGCUGGAUACAAAACAAAGUUUUAUGAAUGGGUGUGAUCUACGGAACUCAACAAAAUAGAUUCAUUUCUGAAGCGGUUGAUUAUUGGCGAUGAAAAAGUCACUUACGACGUUAAGCUAAACAGUCGUGGACAAAUUGUGGUGGCUAGCGAAAAACGUGGCCAGGCUAGAAUGGACGAUCAGGAAAGUUUUGCUAGGUGUGUGGUGAGAUUGACAGUUAUCAACUAUUAUGAGCUUCCCCCUGCGACCUUGGUAUUAAUUCGGACCAAUUCUGCCGACAAUUGAAUCGUAUUAAGGAAGCAAUCGCACAGAAACGGUCAGUUUUGAAAUUGUUAAAUAUGGAUAAUUUUUAGUAAUCAGACGCCCUCUGAUAGUACUAUUUUCAAAAGUAACUCCGGAGGACUUUAUGUUACAUCAGCGAUAGCGGUUGUUGCAUUGCAUGUACCAUAUACUUAUGUAUGUAUGUCAUAUAAACAUUUAUGGUUUAUUUCGGGACAGACUUUAGAUCACAUUAGUGUAUUGCAAUUUAUUUGAAAUAUUAACGUAUUCAGCGUUUUA
Long non-coding RNA from Bactrocera neohumeralis, 849 nucleotides. RefSeq lists it as uncharacterized. The transcript has 2 exons. NCBI's taxonomy places the organism in Eukaryota, Metazoa, Arthropoda, Insecta, Diptera, Tephritidae. The record is from RefSeq and is a predicted model, not a curated record.